This 391-nucleotide unclassified non-coding RNA is filed under the name soil metagenome. RNAcentral's name for it is "partial contains 5.8S ribosomal RNA, internal transcribed spacer 2, and large subunit ribosomal RNA". The stretch from base 1 to 122 matches the Rfam family "5.8S ribosomal RNA", at positions 35 to 154 of the family's 154-position model. The record is from RNAcentral.
GAUGAAGAACGCAGCGAAAUGCGAUACUUGGUGUGAAUUGCAGAAUCCCGUGAACCAUCGAGUCUUUGAACGCAAGUUGCGCCCGAAGCCAUUAGGCCGAGGGCACGCCUGCCUGGGCGUCACACGUCGUUGCCCCCCCAUCUACUCCUUCGGGAUUGCGGGGGGCGGAUGAUGGCCUCCCGUGCGCCUCGCCGCGCGGUUGGCAUAAAUGCCAAGUCCUCGGCGACGCACGCCACAACAAUCGGUGGUUGCGAAACCUCGGUUGCCCGUCGUGUGCGGUCGUCGCGCAUCGAGGGCUCGAAAAAAUUGCCGGGUUCCGGCUCGGCUUUCAACGCGACCCCAGGUCAGGCGGGGUUACCCGCUGAAUUUAAGCAUAUCAAUAAGCGGAGGA